This 468-nucleotide ribosomal RNA is filed under the name uncultured bacterium. RNAcentral's name for it is "partial 16S ribosomal RNA". It matches the Rfam family "Bacterial small subunit ribosomal RNA", at positions 28 to 507 of the family's 1533-position model. The record is from RNAcentral.
GACGAACGCUGGCGGCGUGCUUAACACAUGCAAGUCGAACGGAAAGGCCCUGCUUUUGUGGGGUGCUCGAGUGGCGAACGGGUGAGUAACACGUGAGUAACCUGCCCUUGACUUUGGGAUAACUUCAGGAAACUGGGGCUAAUACCGGAUAGGAGCUCCUGCUGCAUGGUGGGGGUUGGAAAGUUUCGGCGGUUGGGGAUGGACUUGCGGCUUAUCAGCUUGUUGGUGGGGUAGUGGCUUACCAAGGCUUUGACGGGUAGCCGGCCUGAGAGGGUGACCGGCCACAUUGGGACUGAGAUACGGCCCAGACUCCUACGGGAGGCAGCAGUGGGGAAUAUUGCACAAUGGGCGGAAGCCUGAUGCAGCAACGCCGCGUGCGGGAUGACGGCCUUCGGGUUGUAACCCGCUUUCGCCUGUGACGAAGCGUGAGUGACGGUAAUGGGUAAAGAAGCACCGGCUAACUACGUG